CGGAGGGUGCAAGCGUUAUCCGGAUUCACUGGGUUUAAAGGGUGUGUAGGCGGGCAAUUAAGUCAGUGGUGAAAUCUCCGGGCUCAACCCGGAAACUGCCAUUGAUACUAUUUGUCUUGAAUAUCGAUGAGGCGGGCAGAAUAUGUCAUGUAGCGGUGAAAUGCAUAGAUAUGACAUAGAAUACCGAUUGCGAAGGCAGCUCGCUAACCGAUCAUUGACGCUGAGGCACGAAAGCGUGGGGAUCAAACAGGAUUAGAUACCCUGGUAGUCCACGCCCUAAACGAUGAUUACUCGACAUACGCGAUACACAGUGUGUGUCUGAGCGAAAGCAUUAAGUAAUCCACCUGGGAAGUACGUCCGCAAGGAUG
This 368-nucleotide ribosomal RNA is filed under the name uncultured organism. RNAcentral describes it as "bacterial SSU rRNA". It matches the Rfam family "Bacterial small subunit ribosomal RNA", at positions 526 to 896 of the family's 1533-position model. The record is from RNAcentral.